This 326-nucleotide ribosomal RNA is filed under the name uncultured eukaryote. RNAcentral's name for it is "partial 18S ribosomal RNA". It matches the Rfam family "Eukaryotic small subunit ribosomal RNA", at positions 1470 to 1796 of the family's 1831-position model. The record is from RNAcentral.
CCCUUAGAUGUCCUGGGCCGCACGCGCGCUACACUGACAUGUUCAACAAGUUUCUCCUAGUUCGACAGGACUGGGAAAUCUUUGAACGCAUGUCGUGAUAGGGAUAGAUCAUUGCAAUUAUUGAUCUUGAACGAGGAAUUCCUAGUAAACGCGAGUCAUCAGCUCGCAUUGAUUACGUCCCUGCCCUUUGUACACACCGCCCGUCGCUCCUACCGAUUGAGCAUCCCGGUGAAGACUCAGGAGAUAUGUACGUGGCUGGUCUCCAGCUGCGUUGCGUGCCGAAUUUGUCUAAACCUUGAUGCUUAGAGGAAGGAGAAGUCGUAACA